UUAACUUAAUAUAUCUUUGACAUUUUACUGAGUUUCCACUUUCCACUGAUCUAUCUCAGAAACUGGCUGAGAAAGGUUCUACUGCUUCCAAAAAUGGAGUCUGCAAGAAGAGGAAGAUUGUUUUUGCUGAUGAGGCUGGUGGAAAGCUAUGUGAUGUCAAGACUUUUGAGGAUGACAUGGCUUCUUUUGUGAAGCCUAAGGCUGAGAAAACGGGAGCUGUUGACUAAGAGAUGGAGAUUUUGCUUGUUGUACAAUUGUAUAUUUAAUUAAGGCGUUCAACUGCCAAUUUGAUGCUCAAAUGGUACAAAAUCUAUGUGGCUGUUAAGGCAUAUUUAGACAGUUUAAUUUAUGCCUGAUGAGUGGGUUGGAAUGAGGAUACUGGAUAUGUGCUACGUAAGAGGAAGACUUGUGACCAUAUUUAUCCUCUGCCAAGCCUAGUCUCAUCUCUCAUUGUGCCUUUUUUUAUACUCAUUUUUAACAUUGAUAUUGCUUGGAGCUAUGCUGUAUAUAAAAUAAUUCAUCCUUGAUGGCAUUUAUACAUGCCUAUCAAGUGGGAUUUCAAACCUUUUACUUUGGAAUUUCCCCAAGCGGCAUUGCUUCAGUUUUGAUCCACAUUCAAUGUUUGUAUUUUUAGUAAUGGGUUUUCUUUCUUCAGUCAGG
This 660-nucleotide unclassified non-coding RNA is filed under the name Hevea brasiliensis (rubber tree). Lineage: Eukaryota; Viridiplantae; Streptophyta; Magnoliopsida; Malpighiales; Euphorbiaceae. The record is from RNAcentral.